RNAcentral lists this unclassified non-coding RNA (323 nucleotides) under uncultured fungus. RNAcentral describes it as "sequence contains ITS1". The stretch from base 1 to 104 matches the Rfam family "5.8S ribosomal RNA", at positions 50 to 154 of the family's 154-position model. The record is from RNAcentral. Lineage: Eukaryota; Fungi.
GAAAUGCGAUAAGUAAUGCGAAUUGCAGAAUCCGUGAGUCAUCGAAUCUUUGAACGCACAUUGCGCCCUUUGGUAUUCCGAAGGGCAUGCCUGUUCGAGCGUCAUUAUCACCCCUCAAGCCCGGCUUGGUGUUGGACGUCUAGCCAGUCUCUCAGGAGCCGGCUCGCCCCAAAGAUAAUGACGGUGGUCUGUGAAGUCACCAGUACGACGAGCCCCUGGGCAUGUACUGUUCUCGAGUUCCAGCGCCGGUCUCGCUCACGACGUGAGCACUCUUUUUCUGAAAGGUUGACCUCGGAUCAGGUAGGGAUACCCGCUGAACUUAA